AGCGUACACGGUGGAUGCCCUGGCAGUCAGAGGCGAUGAAGGGCGUGCUAAUCUGCGAUAAGCGCCGGUAAGGUGAUAUGAACCGUUAUAACCGGCGAUACCCGAAUGGGGAAACCCAGUGUGAUUCGUCACACUAUCAUUAACUGAAUCCAUAGGUUAAUGAGGCGAACCGGGGGAACUGAAACAUCUAAGUACCCCGAGGAAAAGAAAUCAACCGAGAUUCCCCCAGUAGCGGCGAGCGAACGGGGAGGAGCCCAGAGCCUGAAUCAGCAUGUGUGUUAGUGGAAGCGUCUGGAAAGGCGCGCGAUACAGGGUGACAGCCCCGUACACAAAAGCGCAUGUGCUGUGAGCUCGAUGAGUAGGGCGGGACACGUGGUAUCCUGUCUGAAUAUGGGGGGACCAUCCUCCAAGGCUAAAUACUCCUGACUGACCGAUAGUGAACCAGUACCGUGAGGGAAAGGCGAAAAGAACCCCGGCGAGGGGAGUGAAAAAGAACCUGAAACCGUGUACGUACAAGCAGUGGGAGCCCCACCACUAAGCCAGUGGUGAACUCCACAUACGCAUCCUUUGCUGAGGAUACGGUUAACGGAGCGAAAGCGACGUUCAACCUCAAAAGAAGCAGAGGGGGCUUAGUGGUGGGGUGACUGCGUACCUUUUGUAUAAUGGGUCAGCGACUUAUAUUCUGUAGCAAGGUUAACCGUAUAGGGGAGCCGGAGGGAAACCGAGUCUUAAUUGGGCGUUAAGUUGCAGGGUAUAGACCCGAAACCCGGUGAUCUAGCCAUGGGCAGGUUGAAGGUUGGGUAACACUAACUGGAGGACCGAACCGACUAAUGUUGAAAAAUUAGCGGAUGACCUGUGGCUGGGGGUGAAAGGCCAAUCAAACCGGGAGAUAGCUGGUUCUCCCCGAAAGCUAUUUAGGUAGCGCCUCGUGAAUUCAUCUCCGGGGGUAGAGCACUGUUUCGGCUAGGGGGCCAUCCCGGCUUACCAACCCGAUGCAAACUGCGAAUACCGGAGAAUGUUAUCACGGGAGACACACGGCGGGUGCUAACGUCCGUCGUGAAGAGGGAAACAACCCAGACCGCCAGCUAAGGUCCCAAAGUCAUGGUUAAGUGGGAAACGAUGUGGGAAGGCCCAGACAGCCAGGAUGUUGGCUUAGAAGCAGCCAUCAUUUAAAGAAAGCGUAAUAGCUCACUGGUCGAGUCGGCCUGCGCGGAAGAUGUAACGGGGCUAAACCAUGCACCGAAGCUGCGGCAGCGACAUUUAGGUGUUGUUGGGUAGGGGAGCGUUCUGUAAGCCUGCGAAGGUGGCCUGUGAGGGUUGCUGGAGGUAUCAGAAGUGCGAAUGCUGACAUAAGUAACGAUAAAGCGGGUGAAAAGCCCGCUCGCCGGAAGACCAAGGGUUCCUGUCCAACGUUAAUCGGGGCAGGGUGAGUCGACCCCUAAGGCGAGGCCGAAAGGCGUAGUCGAUGGGAAACAGGUUAAUAUUCCUGUACUUGGUGUUACUGCGAAGGGGGGACGGAGAAGGCUAUGUUGGCCGGGCGACGGUUGUCCCGGUUUAAGCGUGUAGGUGUGUGUUCCAGGUAAAUCCGGUUCACUUUAACACUGAGGCGUGAUGACGAGGCACUACGGUGCUGAAGCAACAAAUGCCCUGCUUCCAGGAAAAGCCUCUAAGCAUCAGGUAACAUCAAAUCGUACCCCAAACCGACACAGGUGGUCAGGUAGAGAAUACCAAGGCGCUUGAGAGAACUCGGGUGAAGGAACUAGGCAAAAUGGUGCCGUAACUUCGGGAGAAGGCACGCUGACACGUAGGUGAAGUGAUUUACUCAUGGAGCUGAAGUCAGUCGAAGAUACCAGCUGGCUGCAACUGUUUAUUAAAAACACAGCACUGUGCAAACACGAAAGUGGACGUAUACGGUGUGACGCCUGCCCGGUGCCGGAAGGUUAAUUGAUGGGGUCAGCGCAAGCGAAGCUCCUGAUCGAAGCCCCGGUAAACGGCGGCCGUAACUAUAACGGUCCUAAGGUAGCGAAAUUCCUUGUCGGGUAAGUUCCGACCUGCACGAAUGGCGUAAUGAUGGCCAGGCUGUCUCCACCCGAGACUCAGUGAAAUUGAACUCGCUGUGAAGAUGCAGUGUACCCGCGGCAAGACGGAAAGACCCCGUGAACCUUUACUAUAGCUUGACACUGAACAUUGAGCCUUGAUGUGUAGGAUAGGUGGGAGGCUUUGAAGCGUGGACGCCAGUCUGCGUGGAGCCGACCUUGAAAUACCACCCUUUAAUGUUUGAUGUUCUAACGUGGACCCGUGAUCCGGGUUGCGGACAGUGUCUGGUGGGUAGUUUGACUGGGGCGGUCUCCUCCUAAAGAGUAACGGAGGAGCACGAAGGUUGGCUAAUCCUGGUCGGACAUCAGGAGGUUAGUGCAAUGGCAUAAGCCAGCUUGACUGCGAGCGUGACGGCGCGAGCAGGUGCGAAAGCAGGUCAUAGUGAUCCGGUGGUUCUGAAUGGAAGGGCCAUCGCUCAACGGAUAAAAGGUACUCCGGGGAUAACAGGCUGAUACCGCCCAAGAGUUCAUAUCGACGGCGGUGUUUGGCACCUCGAUGUCGGCUCAUCACAUCCUGGGGCUGAAGUAGGUCCCAAGGGUAUGGCUGUUCGCCAUUUAAAGUGGUACGCGAGCUGGGUUUAGAACGUCGUGAGACAGUUCGGUCCCUAUCUGCCGUGGGCGCUGGAGAACUGAGGGGGGCUGCUCCUAGUACGAGAGGACCGGAGUGGACGCAUCACUGGUGUUCGGGUUGUCAUGCCAAUGGCACUGCCCGGUAGCUAAAUGCGGAAGAGAUAAGUGCUGAAAGCAUCUAAGCACGAAACUUGCCCCGAGAUGAGUUCU
Molecule: ribosomal RNA, 2876 nt
Filed under: Salmonella enterica subsp. enterica serovar Itami
Lineage: Bacteria; Pseudomonadati; Pseudomonadota; Gammaproteobacteria; Enterobacterales; Enterobacteriaceae
Description: bacterial LSU rRNA
Rfam family: Bacterial large subunit ribosomal RNA
Source: RNAcentral